Colletes gigas is the source of this 1012-nucleotide long non-coding RNA. RefSeq lists it as uncharacterized. The transcript has 4 exons. The record is from RefSeq and is a predicted model, not a curated record. Lineage: Eukaryota; Metazoa; Arthropoda; Insecta; Hymenoptera; Colletidae.
AGUCAUUUUCAUAUACUUUUUCUACGGAGGAUCGUGUCCGUUCUUUACCUGAUUCUGUCAUUCCUGAAGCACCAGACUCGCCCACACUCCGCCACAACCUCAUCCGGGAUAAACUGGUCUGCGCACAGCCAGUGCCACGAAAUGAGUCGGGAAUAAGAAGGUGCCGAGUCUCCGCUUUCGACACGAAACGGGGGCUCUUGUUGCCAAUUUCUGGCAGAGCACUUUUACCCUGAGAUACAGAGACAGCCCCUAACGGUGCCUGUGGCGGGGUGCCUUCAAAGUCGGCCUUUCCGAUGUCCGACAGACUCCCGAGUCGAAACAUGUCCUCCGUACCUCUGCGGAGCGAUCCUCCACUCAUUACAACCGUCAACGUCAAUGUCCCCGACCUCCUUAGAGAUUGCAAUUGGCAAAUCGUCGGCGCCUACGACAACCCUUUGCAAACGCCUUGGAGGGGAGGCGUCCGUACUUUCAGUCUCGGUAUGAAUUGUCAAGCACUUAGAUGGAAAAGGAAAGAUAUUUUGAGAAUCGACAAGAACAGGAUUUCGGGAUAAUGCAUCUGCAUUGGAAUUGAUUUUCCCAGGUUUAUAGACCAUCUCAUAAUCGUAUUCGUUUAAUCUAAUACGCCAUCUCAUGAUACGGGAAGUGGGAUUUUUUACAUUGUGCAGCCAAAUCAGCGGUCGAUGCGUCAUUAAGGGUCCGAGAUGCAUACGCGAUUGGGAGAUCUUUUCCGAUCUGACCCUGACUCAAUACAGCUCCGACUGCAUAAUUAGAAGCAUCAGUUGUUACGAGGAAUGGCUGUUGAAAGUUGGGAAAUUGGAGCAACGGCUCCGAACAAAUGAUAUCACGUAAACUCUCGAAAGCGAAUUUGACAUCUUUACCCCAGACAAAAGGAAAUGACUUAACAGCCGUGAUCUUCCCGGGGUCUGGUUUCACUCCUUUGGCAGAGAUAACGUGACCCAAAUAGGCAACUUCUCGUCGCAAGAAUCGACAUUUCUCGGGUUGUAACGUUAAA